GCCUUGGUCUUGCGCAAUGGAGUCUCGUGAACCCCGUCAGGUCCGGAAGGAAGCAGCGGUAAGCGAACCGCUUCAUGUGCCGCGAGGGCGCCUGGGGGUCG
Molecule: signal recognition particle RNA, 101 nt
Filed under: Selenomonas sputigena ATCC 35185
Lineage: Bacteria; Bacillati; Bacillota; Negativicutes; Selenomonadales; Selenomonadaceae
Description: Bacterial signal recognition particle RNA
Rfam family: Bacterial small signal recognition particle RNA
About the family: The signal recognition particle (SRP) is a universally conserved ribonucleoprotein involved in the co-translational targeting of proteins to membranes. Archaeal SRP consists of a 7S RNA and homologues of the eukaryotic SRP19 and SRP54 proteins.
Source: RNAcentral